This is a long non-coding RNA of Ficedula albicollis (Collared flycatcher), 483 nucleotides long. RefSeq lists it as uncharacterized. The record is from RefSeq and is a predicted model, not a curated record. Lineage: Eukaryota; Metazoa; Chordata; Aves; Passeriformes; Muscicapidae. The transcript has 3 exons.
CCCCCGGACUGACGGGGCUGGACCCCUCCGGACCCCGCUGAACCCCAGGACUGGAGGUGCUGAGCUCCCCCGGACAGACGGGGCUGAACCCCCGGAUCCUGCUGAACCCUCCGGGCCGGUUCUGAGCUCGGGGUUUCUCGGCAGGCACUUGGAAAAUUAUCCAGUGGUUCAGUGCUGAGGGAAUUCUGUGGGAGCAUGGCUGGAGCAGGACACAGAGUCUGGGCACAGAGUGCAGGCAGUGAUGCGGGAUGCUCCUCCCUGCCUCCCUGGCGGCCCUGUGCCCUGGGGCUGUGAUCCCGUCCUGCUCCCGCCGUCCCCAGCACAUCCCAGGAGCCAUGAGGAGGUUUGGCUACUGCCGGGUGGUGCUGGCCACGUCCCUGCUCUGGGUGCUGCUGGACGUGUUCCUGCUGCUCUACUUCAGCGAGUGCAACAAGUGUGAGGACAGCAAGGAGCGCUCGCUGCUGCCGGCGCUGCGCGGUGAGU